GACGAACGCUGGCGGCGUGCUUAACACAUGCAAGUCGAACGGAAAGGCCCUGCUUUUGUGGGGUGCUCGAGUGGCGAACGGGUGAGUAACACGUGAGUAACCUGCCCUUGACUUUGGGAUAACUUCAGGAAACUGGGGCUAAUACCGGAUAGGAGCUCCUGCUGCAUGGUGGGGGUUGGAAAGUUUCGGCGGUUGGGGAUGGACUCGCGGCUUAUCAGCUUGUUGGUGGGGUAGUGGCUUACCAAGGCUUUGACGGGUAGCCGGCCUGAGAGGGUGACCGGCGACAUUGGGACUGAGAGACGGCCCAGACUCCUACGGGAGGCAGCAGUGGGGAAUAUUGCACAGUGGGCGGAAGCCUGAUGCAGCAACGCCGCGUGCGGGAUGACGGCCUUCGGGUUGUAAACCGCUUUCGCCUGUGACGAAGCGUGAGUGACGGUAAUGGGUAAAGAAGCACCGGCUAACUACGUG
RNAcentral lists this ribosomal RNA (468 nucleotides) under uncultured bacterium. Its description in RNAcentral is "partial 16S ribosomal RNA". It matches the Rfam family "Bacterial small subunit ribosomal RNA", at positions 28 to 507 of the family's 1533-position model. The record is from RNAcentral.